Molecule: transfer RNA, 76 nt
Filed under: Candidatus Microgenomates bacterium
Lineage: Bacteria; Candidatus Microgenomatota
Description: tRNA-Ile
Rfam family: tRNA
About the family: Transfer RNA (tRNA) molecules are approximately 80 nucleotides in length.
Source: RNAcentral
GGCUCAGUAACUCAGCGGUUAGAGUGCCAUUCUUAUAAAAUGGAAGUCGAUGGUUCGAUUCCAUCCUGAGCCACAA